UGGCGGCGCGGAGAGGGGGCGGUCCCGGCGCGUGCGCGCGCGGGGCGAGCGCGAGUCCCUGGCGACCGCGCGGGCCCGGCGGAGAGCGGGACACGGGGACAGCGGGACACGGGGACAGCGGGACACUGGGACACACGGACACACAGACACACGGCUCGGCACGGCCCGGCCCGGCCCGGCCGCCGCCAUGGAGCACGGCCAGCAGCAGCAGGAGCAGGAGGAGCAGGAGCAGCGGGCUCAGGAGCCAUGGUUCUGGCUGGCAGCAGAGCAGGGGAGCAGCUGCUCCUGGGACACCAAGCUGGGCCUGAGCUGUGCCCGGAGGGCCCUGUCGGAGCUGCCCACGCUGGAGGAAGGGCUGCUGCCCUCAGCAGAGGCCUCUGGAGCUGCAGUCCCUGCCUCCCCCCUGGGUAUGUGCAGCCACAGGCUGAGGAUUGCACUGGGCAGUCAGGCCCAGCCUGCCCUGGACCUUACUUCAGGGAGAAAUGAGCUUUGCGAGGGGACUUGGGGUGAUGUUGGUGUCAAAGCCCCCCUCAGGCAGGGUUUGAGUGCCUUCCCUGGAUCUUCUGCCAUGAGCAGGUUCCUUCUGUGCCAGGUUAAGCUUUGUUUUGUUUUCCUGUGAAUUCAGAGUGAACCUGAGUGCAGCUUGCACCCCUGGCAGUGCCCAAGGCCAGGCUGGGGAGGGGAAGGUGUCCAUGGCAGGGGGAGCAAUGACAUAUCUUUGUAACAUCUUUAAAAUCCCUUCCACCUGAGCCAUUCCUCAUUGAUGCCCUUGGCUUUGGGUGCAGUUUCUGCUGCUGCUGAGAUUUCCAGUCCCAACACUCACUCCAGCCAAGGUCCCUGCCCCACUGCUCCUUCUCACACCCCGUCCCAGCAGGUCAAUCAAAGAAGGCUUGAGAAACUCCAGCAUUUCAAAUUUCACCUUUGUGCGUCCUUGGUUCCAUUCAUCUCCAUGUGGAGCCAGAGCAUCCUGGUCCAGCACAACCUGAAAAUGCAGUUUCUCAGCCCAGUGUGGUUCUUUUUGCACGGAUCCCUCUGCAGGACCAGCAGUUCCCCUGCCCAGGAGGAUAUUCCUCCUGUG
This 1078-nucleotide long non-coding RNA is filed under the name Lonchura striata (white-rumped munia). RNAcentral describes it as "domestica (Bengalese finch) lncRNA (ENSLSDG00000011018.1)". Lineage: Eukaryota; Metazoa; Chordata; Aves; Passeriformes; Estrildidae. The record is from RNAcentral.